CCUCCCUCUCCUUUCCCCACUUCUCUGUCGCCUCUCCUCCCGUGGCAUUCGGCCAGCCGCCGCCGCCGCCGCGCGACCUCUGCUCCUCCCCGGCUUCGAACUCAGGCCGCCGCUCCGUCCCCCGUCCCCGUCGCACCUCCCCUCGAGCCGCCGGCUGGCCCUCUCCCACUCGUCCUUCUCCCUGCUCCCAUUCCUCCCUCGCGGGAACCCUAGCCGCCGCCCUCUCCCACUCGUCCUCCUCCCCGCUCCCCUUCCUGGCGGCGCACCCGACCGCCGCGCGACCUCUGCUCCUCCCCGGCGUCGAACUCAGGCCGCCGCUCCGUCCCCCGUCCCCGUCGCACCUCCCCUCGAGAUGCCGGCUGGCGCUCUCCCUUCACCGGAGGAGUUGGGUGAGACCGUGAGGAGCGGAGGCGGUGGCUUGUUGCAGACGCUGUUGCGGCUCCCUUUUCUUCCUCGCCGUCUUCUUCGCCUCCCUCCUCUGACCCAGGUAAUGCGGCCAGCCCUCGUCAACCCCGGCUAGCGGAUUCAUUAGCCUUCUACUCCAAUCCCUACCCCGAGAUCCAUCGUCGUUGUGUUGUUGCCGGUGAGAGCUGGGAGGAAGAGAGGGAGGCAAAGGGAUGGAGAUAGACAUGGGAAGGAGAAAGGGUCUUUCUCUGUUGAUCUCCUUUUUGUGACGUAGUAUGGUAGGAAAUUUAUCCAUCCACCCGUGGUGAGAACUUGUUGUCGCUGGUGCUAAAAUGGUGUUGCUGCAGCAGACAAAUGCCAUGGAUCAAGUGCCAUUCAGAUGUUGCAGGAGUCAAGUGUGUGUAAACCGUAAAGAUUAGACCAAUGGAUAUCAAAGAAAAGGAGCUCGACCAGGUAUUUCACCAUCUUGUGCUACACCGUCAUGUAUGUUCACCACUAUGAUGUAUAUUUACUUUACAUUCGUCCAUGAUGAAUCUCAGCGGAUAUUUGGUAUGCACUUAUAUCUAACUCCAAACCAAUUUGUUUUGAUAUAAAGCUUUGAUGUUUAUUAGGUGAAGUUCUUGUUUGUUGGGUUGCUAACAAAUUGCAGCUGUGUGCUGCACCGCUGGUAUCUUUAAUUCCUUGCUCUAGCAUUGAUAUAAAGCUUUGAUAUUUAUUAGGUGAAGUUUACUCUGUAUGCACAAGAAGUUAACUGCGGUAUAAUUCUUAAACACUUCGUUUUAUCAUGUAUGCAGCAUUGAUAUGGCUAUGCAAUGUUAGCCCAAAAUAGGCAGCAGUGCAGUAUACUAAUGUGAAAUCUUAUCAUUCUGGGGCUGCACUUCCUGUGGUGUUUAGACUCUCAUUAUUUCCCCAUAUGUUACAUAUAUAUAAAUAUGCUAAACCAGACCUACCUAUAUACCAAUAGAAGUACACUCAUUGUGUGAGGAGCUCUGUAUAUUGCUCACUUGGAAAGUAUAGGAUACUUCUUUUUCCUACACUUAAUAUUUAUCCUUCUAGAUCCAGAGCAUUAUUAGGCAGUAAUCUUAAAACAUAGUUUCUAGAGUUAAUUUUGUAUUUCUUGGUAAUAACUUUAUAUUAGGCCUGCAAACUAACUACUAUUGCAACUAUGCAACAUCAGGAGCACACCCUAUCAGCUUAAAUCACAAGGCAUGGAAAGUUAGUGUGUUUCCCGGAAUAUUGUUGGUUUUGUUAAAUAGAUGGCCCUCUUAGCAUGGCUAUGGUCACUUGGUCAAAAUCCAGUGUGUACAUCACUUUUUUGUUCUCAGUAAGUUUCUAGCAUUUCUACAUGCAUUUCUUUGUAGCCUAGGCAUAGUAAACCAUUGAUGCUAUUCCAAACACAAGCUCAAGCAAGUUCAGUAGAUUAUUAAUUUUUAUUAGUAUAAUCAGCAUGAGAUAGAGCUUGAUUUCAUCACUUGGUUUACUGUGUGCAUAUUUCCAUGCAGGUACCAUUCAUAUCCUAGAAGUUGUAGCUUCCAGCCUUUUAGUAACUACACAAAACUACCAAAGCUUCAGAGCCAUCAUGGAAUCACCACCGGUCCUCCCUUGCUGAAGUCAUGGAGGGGCAGCCGGUACCGGUGGGUGAGGAGAUCCACGACUGGACAGCAUCAUGUUCUGUUUAAACCUAUGCCUCCCCUGGGAAUCACUAUCGGUCCUCCUUUGCUCAAGUCAUGGAGGGGCAGCCGGUACCGGUGGGUGUGGAGAUCCACGACUGGACAGCGCAGACGCCCAGAUGGCGAGGAAGACGAGUCAUUGUCGCUGCCAACCUCCGCCUCUGCCCCCACACCCCUGACGCGAGCUUUGCCUCCUCUGCCGCUGCUGCAUCUUCUCCAGUGCCUCACCCCCAUCGGACUCGUCUGCCUCCCUGUCAUGCAGGUGCUCCUCGCGUGGCCAUGCUUUCAACCUCUCUCUCUAUCUCUGUUGUGUGCAUCUCCCUCAAUAGCCACUGGAUGUUUUAUCUGGUCCAUUGUGAGAUUUGCCAUACAUGAUUAGUAAUAACAGUAGGUUAAUUUGAUGGGCAUAAGCAUUAGUGAGGUGAAAUAUGUAGAGUUUGGAUUGAUUUACAGGUUCUUCUAAUGAACACACUGAGAUGGGCGUAGAUUUUCUGUUCGGUAUGCGAUCAUAUGGUAAGCGUGUUUAUUUUGUUGGGCACCCGUGUCCUUUGCUCCAUGCAAGAAAUUUCUUAUUUCUUUGUCUGAUGUAUUUGAAAAAUCAAUGUGAGAGAUGAGUUUUGGGUGAUUGUCUACAUAUAGUGUUCUUGCAUCUUAGUGUGAGUUGCGUCGGAUGGUAUUGUUUUCUCAAGGGAAUAAAUUCAUAUGCUUGGUAAGAAAAUGUUCAAUCUACAUGCACCAUGAGUUAAAAGAUAACUUUGAUGAGUCAGAUAGAUGUAGUAUGAUCCACAACCAUAGUUCUGAUCCACACAAUGCAUGAUAUCACUUUAGCCUGAGUCUUGUGGUUAGUACUUGCUACUUCUCCCUGAAAUAGAAUUCAUACCGACACUUUGUAUGGUUGGUUACAAAGAGCCACAAUUGUACCAGGAAAUCUAGAAACCCAACUGGAUAUGCCAAAAAAUACCAAUUCCUAGAACGUCACAUAGUGAUUGAAUUUGCGGCAUUAAAUACAUUCACUGUGCUGGAAGUACAUUACCCUGUGUAUAGUAAAAGGAGUACUCUAAAUACCAGUAGUGUUAUGCAAAUGAAUUUGACAUCUUCCGUCUCCACAUCAGGUCUAUCUUCUUAAGUAUGUCUGUCAAAUAAACAACACAUGUGCUACUCCAGGGCAAAGAGUGGUGCGAGCUAAUUUACAUAUUUUCCUAUGUCAUGAUGCACUUUCCUUACACACACCAACUAACUUCAACUUUCCUAUGAACCUAUCGAAUAUGAAGUGUGUCCUACCGAGUUGGAUAAAACUAUCACUGCAUUGUAAAUAAGUUAGCUCUUUCUCUCUGGUUUGUUAGUUCUAUGAAAAUAUAUUGUUAUAUCUUAAGCCUGUUAUUUUAGUCUCUCUUUCUCUUUGGUGUCAUAAUGAUAUGAACUUCUAUUUUGCUGCAAGAUUGGAGAGAUCCUUUUUAAACUCAACCUGUGUCAUAAGCUACUUGGUUCCUUCUCAUUACUUGGAGGAUGCAUGGAUUGGAGAGAUUAUGGAUGAGGACUGAAUUAUGUGUAUGCAUGAUAUCUUUUAAUUUUGGUCAUCUGUGUAGCUAUGAUAUCUUAGAAGAGUCCCAGUGUGUAUAUUUUGGUGAUCUGUAUCAUAAUAAGGAAGCAAAUUGAAUUAUACAGCGUCAAAGCCCAUCGUCUGCAAUGUUAUGCAGUUCCUUUUGAUGGAAAAUUUUAGUUUGUUGUGUAUUUCUAAUGGACGCGAUUAUGAAUGAGAACUGAAUAAUGUGUAUCUAUGAUGUUCUUAUUCCUGUGACUCAUCAUCUGGAGAUAAUUGUAAAUGAAUGAUUAAUCAUGGGUUUCUUUUGGUAACA
This is an RNA transcript of Triticum aestivum (bread wheat), 3931 nucleotides long. RefSeq lists it as uncharacterized. The transcript is spliced from 5 exons. The record is from RefSeq and is a predicted model, not a curated record. Lineage: Eukaryota; Viridiplantae; Streptophyta; Magnoliopsida; Poales; Poaceae.